This is a long non-coding RNA of Esox lucius (northern pike), 682 nucleotides long. RefSeq lists it as uncharacterized. The transcript has 3 exons. NCBI's taxonomy places the organism in Eukaryota, Metazoa, Chordata, Actinopteri, Esociformes, Esocidae. The record is from RefSeq and is a predicted model, not a curated record.
ACUUUUGUUAGGUAGCGAAUUAGAAAACUUUUUGUUGAAUUGGUCAACGUUACGUUAGCAAUGACGUUAUUUGUCCAUGUCGUUUGCCGGGUACUUUAAAUUAAAGAUAAAAAAAAUUAAAAAAAAAGAUUUUAGCUGCUUACGAAAGCGCAUUGACUAAAUAUAGUUCCCUUGUUACAUUUAAUAAAUUUGGAGCAGUGGUGAAAGCAAUCCAUUCUGGCCUGGUACAUUUAAAGGCUGCUGAAACAUGAGCAAAAACGUAUUGUUGUUGGAUUCGAUCUGGGUCCGUGUACGAUUCGUUCACUGGUUAUCCCACAGUAAACAGGGAGACGGAGAACAAAUACAGCGCUCGUUUUCCGUUCUGUUAAUUCAUGCGUGGACCACACAAGCUGGUUGGCUAGUUAGCUGUACAGCCCAGAAGUGAGUCCCAUUGCCAGGCCUUUGACUGCUGGACCAAUCCCCACACUGAACAGCGGAAGUGGAGUCCCAAAACAUUGGAAGUGUCAUUGCUACCAUGGCCAUAAUAUCUGGAUUUAGGAUGAGUGUGGAGGCACAAUGUGGUGGUCUAAUAAAUGUUCAAAGAAACCAUAAGUUCUGCUUAUUUCGAGGACAGUAUUUUAAACUGCUGGUCACAUGAAAUUUGUCUUUGACUCAAUGUAUUCCAUAUUAAUAAAUAUUGUUG